Molecule: ribosomal RNA, 486 nt
Filed under: Cryptops sp. 1 VV-2020
Lineage: Eukaryota; Metazoa; Arthropoda; Chilopoda; Scolopendromorpha; Cryptopidae
Description: partial large subunit ribosomal RNA
Rfam family: Bacterial large subunit ribosomal RNA
Source: RNAcentral
UGCUAUAGAAUAUAAUAUCUGGCCUGCCCAGUGAUGAAAUUUUAACGGCCGCAGUAUCUUGACUGUGCAAAGGUAGCAUAAUCAAUUGUCCAUUAAUUGUGGGCUGGAAUGAAGGGUUGGACUUAAUUUAACUUUUUUAGUAAUACUAAAUGAAUUUUUAUUUUUUAUAAGAAUAUUUAAAUGAGCAUUAAAGACGAGAAGACCCUAUCGAGUUUUAUAUUGCAUCUAAUGCUUACGAGUAGAAGGUAUAGUUAGCUAUAAUAUUUUACUGGGGCGGUAUCUUUAUAAGAUAUAUUUAAACUUAGGCGUUAUAGAUGAGAUCCUUAAGGGUUAGGAUUUAAUGAUUAAAUUACUGUAGGGAUAACAGUGUUAUGUUAGUUGAGAGGUCUAAUUAAUACUAAUGUUUGCCACCUCGAUGUUGAUUUAGGAAAGCCUGUAGGGAGCAUAGUAUCUACUAGGUGGCUUGUUCAGCCAUAAAAUCUUAUG